UUUUGUUUAAAAAAGUCUUUGCUGGGGUGGCCUCUAACUAACUUAGUAAGAGGGUUUGCCCCAUGUGGACUGAGUCCUGCAGCGGCCCGGGUUCGAAUCUGACCUACAACCCUUUGCUGCGUGUCACCCCCCAAUCUCUUUCCC
Molecule: long non-coding RNA, 144 nt
Organism: Etheostoma cragini (Arkansas darter)
Lineage: Eukaryota; Metazoa; Chordata; Actinopteri; Perciformes; Percidae
Exons: 3
Source: RefSeq, a predicted model, not a curated record